Molecule: long non-coding RNA, 8342 nt
Organism: Gasterosteus aculeatus aculeatus (three-spined stickleback)
Lineage: Eukaryota; Metazoa; Chordata; Actinopteri; Perciformes; Gasterosteidae
Source: Ensembl
UGGCAUUACUAAAAAUCUCCUCCGUUGCAGUCCUGGAGUUUCCUGGAGGGGCUGAUUAAUGUUGGAUGGAGUCACUUGUUUGUGUCAACGGGUCAGAAGAACUUGAAGUUUCAUGAUUCUGGUUUGAUGUUCGAAUGGAGAGUCUGAUUCAGCGUUAAACGUGCCCCCCCCGGCAAGACCGCCCCCUCGAUACAAAAAUAAUCAUCCGUUUCUUGAUACUUCUGUUGACUCGCAAGCUGUUUGUCAGUCACACUCUAAGACAAAUGCACAAACAUGGGUGUGAUCGCACACAACCCAUGAGGGCUGACGCGAAGGCGCACGCACGCGCAGGCCUUGUAACACAUUCACAAAAUGCUGCGCUGUGAAUACUUUCCGGAUGCACUGUACACGGCAGGGUUUUUUUCAUGCCAGGUUUUAGGGGUGAGCGAAAGAGCACACUGCAAAUAUUCACUGACUUUCACUUAAAACCAGCCCUCUGUUUGCAUGAACAUAUUGCACCUGUUGCCUCUUUGUUUCUGUUCCUCUUGGGCUUUGCUUCAGUUGUCUUUCCUCCUCUGCAUCACAUCUGGUUAUUUGGGGCUGGGUACUUCAAAGCGCUUUUUUGCUGCUCACUGAGCAGCAAGAGAGCUGCGCCUCUGUGAAAUAUUGUAGGCCCUCACAGCAGCUUUGUGUUUUAGCAGGUAGGAGGAGCUGUGGUUUACUGAGCCGCUCGGCCUGAGGAGGUCUGUAGAUCGGAGAGACGGGGGAAACCGCUUAUGUUGUUUGGUUUGGACUCAAGUUUAAUGCAGGGAUCCCUUGCCCCAUCUCGAGCUAAAAAUGCGUGUGCACGUUGCAUGCAUUAGAAGGGAAUACCGUCCGUUUUUAAGGAAAAAUAAUUUUAGGGAAGGCAGCGGUGAGAAAGACAAUGAUGUAGGGGGAGUUGGUGCUCCUUGAGAUGGAUGCUUGUCAUCUUCAUGCUUCAUCUCUGUGAAAGAGCAAUAAUCAAGGGCCUGCACAUGGUGUUAAAUUGGAUUUUUAUGGCAGCACUUGAAAUAAUAAUUAAAAGUCUGAUACAAAGCGUGGCCCAGGUAAGAGUUUAAAUAGGAGAGAUGCUUUCUGAAUAGCUUUCUUUUGUCAAGGUUAGAAGAAGUGGGAACACUCAACGUGAAUGUUCCCAUCUGGGUCAUUGGACGUAAUUGCUCUUAAUAAGAUUAUAUUAAACACUGAGCUUGAAGGUUUAUUAUUGACCUUCACAAAAAUAAUUACAAGCAUGUGGUAACUAAUUGGGAUUGUUUUUCAGCUUGUGGCCUUUAUCAGUAGGUGAAGUUUCUUAGACAUGAUAUUCCUCCACAUGUCACAAUUAUAUUGGGGAAUAUUAAUAUCCAAUGUCUGACAUUCCAGUUUUAUCGACUGUACACUCUCCAUGACAACUAAGCUACAUAUGCAGAUGACAGCAAAAUGGUGUCCUUAAAAUAUCCCCCAAAAUACCUCAACCAUAUGCAAAGAAUUGUUUUUGUGAUAUUUCUAAAAUGUUUGAUAUAAAGAAAGGAACCUUCGGUGUAUUCUUCAGAACAAACUAUUCUGAGAGUCGAUCCCUUUGAUAAACUGUCAGCAAGUCGAGGAUUGCAUCUUCAUUUUUGUUAUCACACAGGUGUCUUCUGCGCUGCCUAGAAUGAUAACGUGUCUACCUUGGUUGAACCCAACAAUGGCAUCUAAUAUUUGUAAUGCUAAGCUUGGCUCUACUUCCCUGCCAGAUGUUUGUUUUAUCCAUUGCAUUAGCCGUAGUUGGCGUAAAAACAUUGUUUUUUGCUUUGGGGAAAACCAAUGUUUAUUAGUCAGUCAGCCUAUUAUGAAAACGGUCCCAAAUUGUGCCAAAGGCCAAUUAGCACAAAAAUAAACCUUCUAUUCUCGAUGUCAGCCGUGUAUUUAUCUAAGGAUAAGCGGUUUAGAAGAUUAUACUGACUAUACUGUAAGUUGUUUUUUCAGAGAACUGACUGUGCAUUAAAAAUAGUCUUCAUAAAAUGUCAUCUGUACUUGCAUUAUUUCACAUUUUAUCUACUAAAGUAGCAAAACUACAUUAUCAUCAACGUGCUAAAAUUAGCAUACAAAAGGGACAUUCACAUAGUCUGCAUUCCAACUUUGAAGCUUUAAAUGGAGAUAAAUGACAAACAUUCAGCUACCUUUGCAUUCACAGCCAAUAUUUUGAUGUUUUGAACUGAAAAAUAAAAUCAGUCUCCCUUUAGUUCAGCAGAUUUGGAUAGGAAUUUAAGUAGGCCCUUGUAGUGUUUCAUCACGAGCCCAGCAUCACACCAAAGACGAGUUUGGAAUAAUACUGGCCUGCACUCAAGUAAAACCAGAACACCGGGUGCUGCAAUCACAAAUAGAUAAGAGAAGUGGAGUGGUCUGGUGUCAUGAAAUGCUUGGGUGAGAAAAAGCAAGACGAAGAAGAAAAGAUGUGGGAAAGAGACUUCACAACCGGAGAAAGUUCACAGGGAGAGAGUACAUCUCGGAAACAAAAGAGGGGGGAAAAAAAAGCCUGUGGCAAGGAUCUAGAAGGGGAGCGGAGAUAUUUUUCCCUAUCGGAUGACACUCGGAUCUACUUCAGUCAUUUGUCAGCCACACAGGCAGAAGGGCUGGCUAAUGGAUUGGGAAGGCAUGAGAGACACAAGCCCAGGGAAUCCCUCCGUUGUUAUCUGCAGCCGACAUUAUCAGACCUACUUUACUGAGAGUUGGCUGACAACGGAGCAGGAACCAGGAAUGGCCGUGCAGCCCGGGCCGAUGGAGACCAUGCCAUCAACGCCAGGGUUAGAGGGAACAAAGGAUUACUGUAAUCUCAUGGUUGGGAAUGGGCAGCUUCCAUAUUUUAAGGGUGUGAAACCUGACGAAAUUUGUGUUGAAGAAAACAAAUAACAGUCAGAUUGGGCUGUGUUUAUCUACUAAAGUAGCAAAACUACAUUAUGUUAUUAUUAUUAUGUUGUACCGAACCAGAAUUCUGUUUUAAAAUAAGAGAAAUAACUUUCUCUAUUAUUGCUCUGAUAGCUUCCAUGACAAGCUGCAGUUGAGUAUUAACUUGUUACUCAAAAUAACAUUGGUUCCAACAGAUGUACACUUCAGAACUCACCUGGAGUCAUAAAACACAUGUGUGCCAUGUCUGUCAAAAUGCUUACAAUGCAUUGCAUCUCUUUUUACGCACUGCAGCAUUAUAAUGACAAGCACAUGAGAACAAUUCCUGCUCUGCCUCCACCCCUCCAUCAUCUCCUGCUUGCCCUCUCCGCCCGCGCAUCUCCCGUGGGAGGGACUAGUACACAGGCAAGGAGGCGAGGAAGGGAACCGUAGAGGCUGAAAAUAAGAGAAAUGAGACGUUCGCUUUGACUGUGUAAAAUGCAAAUCUGCAAGCCUUGAAUUGAGAUUGACAAACGAAUAUGCGAUUGACAAAUAAAAGCUCAAUUUAGAGAUCUCCUCAAAAGAUUUACCCGUAGUUUAAAUAAAUGAUAAAAAAAUAUAUAUUUACAACUUUUUUGUAUUGUACACAUUUACACAAGGAUUCCCCUUUUCCAACUAAUGCGACUUGAUACCGAUGCAUUAUCGGGACAUCCCUAACCUUUACCACAUCCUCCUGUCGCACGACUGUGCCUGAGCUACGUCAGUUCACUACUCGUAACAAAGCAAAGGCCGUCUUCCCUUCUAUUUGCGCUAUGCUACUCUAGUGUCGAGUUGGAUAACAUGGAUGUAGGAUGACAGAAUAAUAUUGUCUUGAAGUUUUACAGGUCUGCCAUGAAUGUGUGGCUUCACUUCACAGACUAAGCGCGAACAUGGCUGCUCAGUGGAUAUGCUCAAAGACUACCAUGUGGAUUGAUUGCACAGUAAUGGCUGAGUGCUGCACUGCUUUUUGCCUUCUUUUUUUUUUCUUCUUCUUUUCAGGCGUGGUGUAGUUAAAUUUGAAAACCUCAAGCCGCUUAAAUCUCUGCAGAAUUCAUUUCCGUGGAAUGUCUCUUCCCCCGGUGGCAUAGCAGGGAGCAUGAAAAGCCGAGCUGCUGUUCUGAGCGCCUUCGCUGAGGUGAGGGGCGACGGGGGGCUCCUUCUCACACACGGCCAAAUGGCAGACAGAGAACACCAAAGGCACUUGUGGGUUUAUCGUACCUUUUUUUUUUUGACUCUGCAGGAGACGUGGGAAGCGCUCAGGAACGGAAGGCUUGGUGAAUCAUACAUGAUGCGUACAGUGAAGAUGCAAUACGGGGGGGAAGUGAGGGGACGAUAGCUUUCACGUCACGCAAACAAACGUGCACUGAAAGCAGGUAAUGGUCGUGGUGGGAGAAGGAUCCGUGCAUUCAUUCUGUACCAGCUUCGUGGCGGGAGACCAGCCCAGUGCACUUUUGGACCCAGCAAUAUAUCAAAUCUCAAUUCCGGGGCGGAUGACCCUGCUCCUCACGUUUAACGUCAUAUCAAGGCUGCUAAGAGCUGCUAAAAGUGAUGGAGUUAUUAUCUUUAUUUAAGUAUAAUUAACCUUUUUUUCGCAUUCAGUCGGAAAUGAGGGACCCUGAGGGCUGCAAAGGGUGCUCAUGGUAUUUCCAACUUUGGGCAAAAGGAGACAUGUCACAUUUGCUGACUGCAUAGAAAAGGAGUGAAGACCUUUUUUACACAGUGUUUGCUGAGGUCUAUGAAUGAAACUGAUAUUGUCCUGUAAAGUGAGACACAGCGAGAGACAAACAGUCAAAAGUACACAGGUAUUGAACACUAUUUCAUCAUCUUUUAAGUUGCUUUACAUUGUGUGAACAGAUGAAUGGCAGGAAAUUACAAUGUCUAAGAAGAAUGUUGUAAUUACUGGUUUUAGAGAAAUGCUGAAAACUUUCAACUGCAAGAUCGGAAGGAUUUGUCUGUGUUGGUCAUAGUUCUUGUUUUAACAAAAUAACAAUGUGUUUAUCAAUUACAUAUUUUUCACCGACUCAAACAUCAAACACGAACGGUAACUAAAUUAACAUCCAACAUUUUUGACAAAAAAGACUAGAAUUAGGUGUGGGUUUUAAAUAUACAAAUGUAUUUUCCAUUGAAAAAAACAUACUGACCUAUGUUCCCCAAUGUCAUUCUCAGGUGUGCACAAAUCUCCUUCCAAAUUGGUAAGUGACUCUGACACCUUUUGUUCAGUUGAGGAAUGCACAUCUGAUUCUCUGGUUUGCUGCCCAAGUGUGGUUCACAGGUUCCCCAUCUCCAAUUUGCUAAAAGGAGUAGACACAUCAAUGUGAGACCACGACAAGCCGCCAUCGAGAAAUAUGCUAAACUGUCACAAAUUCAGAGUGCACUUUUUCUCUAAAAUAUACUGUUUAAUAAACACAACAUUAUUAACGUUACUGAAACAAACGCUCCACUGUCCUGGAUUUGCACCCUUACACUGCAGCAGGGGGAAAAACAUCUGUCCUCAUUUCACAACAUGUCCGUUGGGGGCGCUGUGCAGCACAUCUGGACCAGUUGACCAUUGCCAAGAAGCUUCAAAGAGCCUGGCAUCCUUUGAUGCUGGAUUGCAUUCCCUAUAACUGCCAAGAAGCAUCGUGGUUUUGGCUUCAGUUGGCAGACCAGACACGCCAGACAAUGUAUCCAUAGCUGGGAGCUUGUGAAAGGUGGUCCCAGAAGCAGGAGGUGGCCGUCAUUGGGCCUGUUAGCUGACAUUAUUUAAUCUAUUCACAUUUAUGACUGUGCGUGUUUAGAAAUAAGGUCAAACAGCAUCGUCCCGCUGCUUUCAUUGUUUGAUUUGAACCUCUAAACAUUUAAAAUACUAUUAUGAAGUACGUUAAAUUCAUAGUUGUUGGAAGCAUUUCAUAAUUAGCUUGGAAGCUUCAGCAUUUCUUUUACUUACUUUCCGAAAACUGUUGAUCUUGUGGCUCAAGAUUUAAUUAGCAACAUAGUAGGUACACCUCACAAGGUACAGUGUUUUCACUAAUUAUUGAACUCUUUUAAUAAAGAUUUGUUUGGUGACCUAGGCACUUAUUGUAUGUGCAGUUUUAGCAGUGCGUUGUACCGAAUUGAGGAAUGUCAUCGCUUAUGAAGUCACAAUUUAUUCCCUAUUGGGGCACAGAGACUGGAAAUACAACUCUAAAGUUCACCAAUUAACACGGAUGUUGGUUGAUAUGUGAGGAAUGGAUUUUGUGCUGAGCUGCAGCUUUCCACUGUUGCGGAUCCAGUCUGCUCAGCUAAUGGACUGAUUCGUAUCUUCAUAGUCGCCAUAGACAACCGACCGGUUAGUGUGGAGGAUCCAUCUGUGGCUGGUAUGAUAGUGUGACGGAGCUCCGGUGAGGCCGAAGGCUCCUGCUAGGGUGAGCGUUGGGGUUGAUCCGUUAGGUACGAGCAAAUGCAACAAAUGCUUUAUUCGCUGAAAUGGACCCGCUGUUCUGCCUCCGUGGUGUCUGUUGCCGUUGCUUUUCGACUGGACAUAUGCAGGAUGAAUGAAUUCAUCAUUCCUUGCAGGUUGAAGCUUGUUGAAAAAAAAACAUUUGCACAGCAAUCUAUUACCUCAUCAUAGGAAAGUGACCUCAAACUGAAGGUGGGGUUCUGGCUGGUGAGGAAUACAACAGUAUUCCUCAAUCAUCUCUUUGAUGCUUUGUGUGCCGUGCAGCAUGUGACAGGCCAGCCUCACAUUGUUCCGGUCAAGCGAAUCCCUGAGAACAGCGUAAUAAUCCAUUUUUCCAGCUCUCAUACUCCCGAUGUGCGCAUGUCAUUAUGUGCUAUUGUGGGUCGUAGAGGCACGUAUUCUAUGAACCCCAGAGGAGCCACAGAGUGUUUCAGAUGAAUCACCUGGUAGGUGGCAGGGGGUUAUUACAGAAAGAAAAACACAGAUGUAAAAAAGGAGAUAAAGAAGAUUGAUGCCUCUCCAGCGAGCACACGUGUGAAAACAUGCCAAUGACUCCAUCACCUCUCCGGUCCUUUCUCGUUCUCACUCUCCAUUUUCUUCUCUCUACUUCUCGCAGUCAGCCCACUAUUUUAUGCACUUCUCCUCGCUUUACACGUGGCAUCUACUUUAAUAAUUCCCAUUUGAGAUCUCACUGCAACCCUUCAAUCAUCGCCCGCGACCAGCUUAAAAUAACACCGUGGGAAGCGAGAGAAUGGGGCUGAGUGUGUAGGAGCCCCCAUGCCGGUGUUAUUAAUUGUUUCAGAGAUGAAUAUCCCAUUACAGUCCGACUGAGGAAUGGAGAUGGAGCGGGGGGGGUUAUAGCGUGAUUAAUACGAAGUUCAUGCAAUGCAUGAUUAAUUCUGAAGUGCGAGUGGGUGUUUAAUCAAGGGCACGUGUGAUAUGAUCAAUGAUAGGGUGAAGAAAAAGAGCUGGAUGAUUAGACCCCCCCCCUUUCAGAGUGUGGAACAUAUGUCACCCGAGAUUUAGCGGGCUCAGUCGCAAUGUGGGAUUACACCGGUGGCAGAGCCGUGCGACAUAGCCGCAUAGGUUGGAUUACACAGUCGCUUUGGAAAGUCUGAAGGAUUAGGCUAUUUUGAGCUCAACCAAGUGAAAUGUGUUCCUUCCUUUUUUCAAAGAGGAUAGCGGUAUGAAUGCAGCGCAUGUGAAAGCACACCUCUGCUAUUGUAUAGAGUGUGUUGCCUGCCUGGCUCUUUAUUCCAGUACUCUUUCACAUUAAAAACUGAAUGUUUCUGUAGGGACGCAAUAGAAGAGUCACUGCGACAUGAAUGGAGGUGGAGGGCAUGGGGGGCGGAGGGGGGGGGGGGCAAUAAGGCGUUGCAUAUCAUUCCCUUCUGCGCUCUCACAGGACUAAUUAAGGAAAAUAUCAAAUUGCAAUUUAUUUUACUUGUGUGCAAAAUUUGUGACAGACAUGCCAGUUGUGGAAUGCUUUAAAAUAAAUCAAUACUAAUCUCUUCUGAUUUAAAAAAAAAAUCAUAAUUCUAACGUUUUCUAAUCAAGGGCUUGUGGAUGCAUUAUGUAGUUAAACUGUAAAAAUCCUCAGCUAAAUUUUAGAGGAGCUGCGGAGCACAACAGGCUAUUGUUAAAAUAUUGGGGCAAAAGGCAACAAAAAAGAGCUUUACUUUAAAUUGUCAAUUAAUGUUUAAAAGAACUAUACAAUGUAAACUAUGUAUACAUUCCUACUUCAAAAGUGGUCUUUUAGGUAUUGACAGCAGCCACAUAAUAAAUCCCAUAUGGUAAUAAAGACAAAUGAAUGGAUAGUAAGUAAUGCAAUUUUGACUACUUUUAACACUAUAACAAUAAUGUAUUGCACUUGAAGUUUAACUGAGAUAUUCAUCAAACUUUGUUUACUAGCCAUCUACACUCGACCCCCGUGUCGUCAUUAAUAUUUUGAACACUGUAAAACAUUUUGUAAAAUAUAUUUUAAUAUAUCAAACUUGUGGACCCCAUCAAUCAAAAUAAAAAA